AUGGAGGACUACAUAGAUGAGCACACUGGCGAGAAGCAAGGUGCAAGACAAUUGGCAAGAAACAAUUCAAGAACCCACAACUUUUAUGCAGUAUCAUGGUUGUACAGGAGGCAAGGACAGGGGACCAGAUUUGGGGCAAGAUUCAAGUCAGGUUUUCGCAACACUUGGGUACAGGAGGCAACUAUGCAAGUAGUAGAGCAUGGGGUACGUACGUGCAAAGGGGGGAGUUCCACUAGCUCUAGUAGAACUGAAAAGAAUUUGAAUGGACCUGUUAUCUUUCUUGUUUUUUACCAGGAGAAACUUGCCCAGUUCUGGCAAUUUUUUUGCCCACGUUUUCUUCAGAUUGUUGCCUGA
This 354-nucleotide ribosomal RNA is filed under the name Triticum aestivum (bread wheat). RNAcentral's name for it is "partial small subunit ribosomal RNA". The record is from RNAcentral. Lineage: Eukaryota; Viridiplantae; Streptophyta; Magnoliopsida; Poales; Poaceae.